AACGAACGCUGGCGGCAUGCCUAACACAUGCAAGUCGAACGAGACCUUCGGGUCUAGUGGCGCACGGGUGCGUAACGCGUGGGAACCUGCCCUUAGGUUCGGAAUAACUCCCCGAAAGGGGUGCUAAUACCGGAUAAUGUCUUCAGACCAAAGAUUUAUCGCCCUUGGAUGGGCCCGCGUUGGUUUAGCUAGUUGGUAGGGUAAAAGCCUACCAAGGCGACGAUCCAUAGCUGGUCUGAGAGGAUGAUCAGCCACACUGGGACUGAGACACGGCCCAGACUCCUACGGUAGGCAGCAGUGGAGAAUAUUGGACAACGGGCGAAAGCCUGAUCCAGCAAUCCCGCGUGAGUUAUGAAGGCCUUAGGGUUGUAAAGCUCUUUUACCCGGGAUGAUAAUGACAGUACCGGGAGAAUAAGCUCCGGCUAACUCCGUG
Molecule: ribosomal RNA, 433 nt
Filed under: uncultured bacterium
Lineage: Bacteria
Description: partial 16S ribosomal RNA
Rfam family: Bacterial small subunit ribosomal RNA
Source: RNAcentral